GACGUAGGGGGCGAGCGUUGUCCGGAUUUAUUGGGCGUAAAGCGUGCGUAGGCGGCUGCGCAAGUCGGUUGUGAAACCCCGGGGCUCAACCCCGGAACUGCAUCCGAUACUGCGUGGCUAGAGGUAGGUAGGGGAGAUCGGAAUUCCUGGUGUAGCGGUGAAAUGCGCAGAUAUCAGGAGGAACACCGAUGGCGAAGGCAGGUCUCUGGGCAUUAACUGACGCUGAGGAGCGAAAGCAUGGGGAGCGAACAGG
This 253-nucleotide ribosomal RNA is filed under the name uncultured bacterium. Its description in RNAcentral is "partial 16S ribosomal RNA". It matches the Rfam family "Bacterial small subunit ribosomal RNA", at positions 524 to 776 of the family's 1533-position model. The record is from RNAcentral.